This 525-nucleotide ribosomal RNA is filed under the name Yamadazyma mexicana. Its description in RNAcentral is "eukaryotic LSU rRNA". It matches the Rfam family "Eukaryotic large subunit ribosomal RNA", at positions 45 to 628 of the family's 3401-position model. The record is from RNAcentral. Lineage: Eukaryota; Fungi; Ascomycota; Pichiomycetes; Serinales; Debaryomycetaceae.
AAAAAGCGGAGGAAAAGAAACCAACAGGGAUUGCCUUAGUAGCGGCGAGUGAAGCGGCAAUAGCUCAAAUUUGAAAUCUGGCACCUUCGGUGUCCGAGUUGUAAUUUGAAGAAGGUAUCUUUGGUUUUGGCUCUUGUCUAUGUUCCUUGGAACAGGACGUCACAGAGGGUGAGAAUCCCGUGCGAUGAGAUGCCCAAUUCCAUGUAAAGUUCCUUCGACGAGUCGAGUUGUUUGGGAAUGCAGCUCUAAGUGGGUGGUAAAUUCCAUCUAAAGCUAAAUAUUGGCGAGAGACCGAUAGCGAACAAGUACUGUGAAGGAAAGAUGAAAAGAACUUUGAAAAGAGAGUGAAAAAGUACGUGAAAUUGUUGAAAGGGAAGGGCUUGAGGUCAGACUUGGUUUUACCAGGCCAGCAUCAGUUUGGAUGGCAGGAUAAUAGCUUAGGAAUGUGGCACUGCUUCGGUAGUGUGUUAUAGCCUGGGUUGAUACUGCCUGUCUAGACUGAGGACUGCGUCUUGACUAGGAUGC